ACCUGAGUGGCUCAGUCGGUUAAGCAUCUGACUUCGGCUCAGGUCAUGACUUCGCGGUUUGUGAGUUUGAGCCCCGCCUCGGGCU
Molecule: transfer RNA, 85 nt
Filed under: Felis catus (domestic cat)
Lineage: Eukaryota; Metazoa; Chordata; Mammalia; Carnivora; Felidae
Also listed under: 2 other names
Rfam family: tRNA
About the family: Transfer RNA (tRNA) molecules are approximately 80 nucleotides in length. Their secondary structure includes four short double-helical elements and three loops (D, anti-codon, and T loops). Further hydrogen bonds mediate the characteristic L-shaped molecular structure. tRNAs have two regions of fundamental functional importance: the anti-codon, which is responsible for specific mRNA codon recognition, and the 3' end, to which the tRNAs corresponding amino acid is attached (by aminoacyl-tRNA synthetases). tRNAs cope with the degeneracy of the genetic code in two manners: having more than one tRNA (with a specific anti-codon) for a particular amino acid; and 'wobble' base-pairing, i.e. permitting non-standard base-pairing at the 3rd anti-codon position.
Source: Rfam by way of RNAcentral